GUUUGCAGUUUGCCUACCUGUUCUUGAAGGAACAAGUCAUUAGCAAUAUGCACUAUUUUUUCCACAGCAAUGAUGCUUCCGAUACUAUGAAUUUCAAUAUCUGCCAUCAUGGUGAGGACAAGGAUGGCUUCUACCAGAAGCUGGCGGUACUCAGGCUGAGGUACACGAUUCAGGACAGACUCCACAUGAACAGAGAAUUUAAUCUCGCCUGGAGUCAUCUGUGAUAGAGAAACAGAAAAUCAAUUCCUAAGAGCCCAUCAUCCAGGAGGCACCUCUUCUGAAAGGCAGUAAAGGCACUGGAGUCAAGAGCGCUGCUCAGUCUUCUUUAAAGUACUGGACUGUAAACUGGGAACUACAAUCCCUUCCUUAGCUGUCUCACAUACCUGUGUUGAUGAUCAAAUUAAAGAAUGUGUGAAGGUACUUUGAAGAUUCUUAAAGGUACCAUUCAGAAGUUACUAUGGCCACGAUAGCCAACUGUGGAAGGAGCCUCGGUGUCCAACGAAAG
Molecule: long non-coding RNA, 505 nt
Organism: Canis lupus familiaris (dog)
Lineage: Eukaryota; Metazoa; Chordata; Mammalia; Carnivora; Canidae
Exons: 3
Source: RefSeq, a predicted model, not a curated record